GACGAAGGGGGCUAGCGUUGUUCGGAAUUACUGGGCGUAAAGCGCGUGUAGGCGGUUGUCCAAGUUGGAUGUGAAAGCCUUGAGCUUAACUCAAGAAAUGCAUUCAGGACUGGAUGACUAGAGGACCGGAGAGGAUAGUGGAAUUCCCAGUGUAGUGGUGAAAUACGUAGAGAUUGGGAAGAACACCAGUGGCGAAGGCGGCUAGCUGGACGGUACUGACGCUGAGACGCGAAAGCGUGGGGAGCAAACAGG
RNAcentral lists this ribosomal RNA (252 nucleotides) under uncultured bacterium. RNAcentral's name for it is "partial 16S ribosomal RNA". It matches the Rfam family "Bacterial small subunit ribosomal RNA", at positions 524 to 776 of the family's 1533-position model. The record is from RNAcentral.